GGAGAAUUACCCAAGAGGCUGAAGGGGCUCCCCUGCUAAGGGAGUAGGUCGGGUGACCGGCGCGGGGGUUCAAAUCCCCCAUUCUCCG
RNAcentral lists this transfer RNA (88 nucleotides) under Eubacteriales bacterium. RNAcentral describes it as "tRNA-Ser". It matches the Rfam family "tRNA". Rfam says of the family: Transfer RNA (tRNA) molecules are approximately 80 nucleotides in length. Their secondary structure includes four short double-helical elements and three loops (D, anti-codon, and T loops). Further hydrogen bonds mediate the characteristic L-shaped molecular structure. tRNAs have two regions of fundamental functional importance: the anti-codon, which is responsible for specific mRNA codon recognition, and the 3' end, to which the tRNAs corresponding amino acid is attached (by aminoacyl-tRNA synthetases). tRNAs cope with the degeneracy of the genetic code in two manners: having more than one tRNA (with a specific anti-codon) for a particular amino acid; and 'wobble' base-pairing, i.e. permitting non-standard base-pairing at the 3rd anti-codon position. The record is from RNAcentral. Lineage: Bacteria; Bacillati; Bacillota; Clostridia; Eubacteriales.